AUGGCCACAACUACGCGACCCUCCUCACACAGCUGCCUCUUCCUCAUCCUAGCUGCAGCCUCCACCAUAGUCACCGUGCUCUCUGCCCAUGCGAGUGAUAUACCCAACGGAGGGUGCAUCGCCGCCGAGAGGGCCGCGCUGCUCUCCUUCAAAGCCGGCGUCACUAGCGACCCAGCUAAUCGCAUCGUCUCAUGGCACGGCCAUGACUGCUGCCACUGGAGCGGUGUAAGGUGCAACAACUGGACUGGCCACGUCAUCAAGCUGGACCUGCGCAAUGAUUUCUCCGCGAAGGAUUUCAUUGGUUUUCCCAAAGCUCGUUCUCGUUCGAUGCGGGGACAGGUAUCUUCUUCAUUGCUUGCUCUCCAACACCUCAAGCAUCUAGAUCUUAGCGGGAACUUUCUCGGAGGUGAAUGGAUGCCUAUACCAGAUUUCAUGGGUUCUCUCGAGAGAUUGGUAUACCUCAACCUCUCCAACAUGAAUUUCUGUGGCAGAGUGCCUCCUCAGCUAGGCAACCUCUCCAAACUGGUACACCUUGACAUAAGCCAUAAUUCUUGUCUGUACAGCCUACACUCCAUGGAUAUAUCUUGGUUAGCACGUCUCUACUCACUGGAGCAUCUUGAUAUGGGCUCUGUGGACCUUAAAGCAGCGACUGACUGGGUUCAUUCGCUGAACGCUCUUCCCAGUUUGGUUGUACUGAAUCUCGAUUGGUGUAACCUUCAAAAUAACACUCCGUCACUUGUACACUACAACCUUACAGUUCUUGAGGAACUUGACCUUUCCUAUAACUCUUUAGAUAGCCUUGCUGCAUCAAACUGGUUUUGGGGUGUAACUAGCCUCAAAAGGCUAAUCCUAUUAGAAUGUGGAUUAUCAGGUUCAUUUCCUAAUGUGUUGCGAAACUUGACCUUGUUAGAGACCCUUGACCUGGGAUUUAAUAAUAUCAACCGGAUGAUACCGGUAACAAUGGAAAAUAUGUGUAAAUUGAAGUCUCUAGGCCUCAGCUACAAUAACAUCGGUGGGGACAUAUCAGACUUAAUGGAGAGGUUUCCGAAUUGUUCUUUGAAGAUUUUGCAAGAGUUUUAUUUGUCGGAGGCAAACGUCACCGGCACGACAUUAAAUUCUUUGCUAAACCUAACCAGCAUAAGAACAAUUCAUGCCGGUGAUAACCACUUGAGCAGUCCCUUGCCUGUGGAGAUUGCCACACUGACAAAUUUGACAGAAUUGUUGCUUGGUGGCAACAACUUGAGUGGUGUGAUAUCAGAAGAUCAUUUCGCUGGUCUUACAAACUUGAAGAUACUUGACUUGUCUUGCCCUAAUUUGAAGGUCGCCAUGGACUCGGGCUGGAAAACACCAUUCAGGUUGGAUAUUGCAUGGUUUGGAUCUUGUCAGUUGGGUCCCGGAUUUCCUCAAUGGCUUCGAGGGCAAAAUGGCAUUUCAGACCUUGACAUUUCAAACACGGGUCUAAUUACUAGGAUUCCACAUUGGUUUUGGACAACCUUUUGUGGCGCGGAACAUUUGGACAUGUCCUCAAACCAACUUAGCGGCAACUUACCCAUCAACUUGGAGUUCAUGUCAGUGAUAACACUUUAUCUGCACUCAAAUUGUCUAACUGGUUUGGUACCGAAAUUGCCAAGAACAAUUGAAGUAUUGGACAUCUCUAGAAACUCCUUAAAUGGGUUCGUGUCGUCAAAUUUGGAAGCUCCACAUUUACAGGUUGCGGUUGUCUUUUCAAAUUCUAUGACCGGCACUAUUCCAACCUCGAUUUGUCAAUGGCCACAACUGCGGAUCUUAGAUCUUUCAAACAAUCAGCUUGUAGGGGAACUUCCUGAUUGUGGCAGAAAGGAGCUAAAGCAAUGUAAAGCAUCUAGCAAGAACUCUUCAAAUGUCAGUUCCACAUGUUCAUCUAGUUUGCGAAUAACUAUCCUCCUUGUAAGCAACAACAGUCUUUCAGGUGGAUUUCCUUUAUUCCUGAGGAAAUGCCGAGGUUUGCGUUUCCUCGAUCUAAGUCGAAACAAAUUCAGUGGAAACCUACCUACACGGAUUGGUGAAGACAUGCCUUUGUUGGUAAUGCUACGGUUAAGAUCAAACAACUUUUCUGGUCACAUUCCAUAUCAGAUAACGGAACUUCCUGCUCUUCGUAUUUUAGAUCUAUCUAACAACAACUUUUCUGGUGUAAUACCACAAUCUCUGGAUGACCUCAAAGCUUUGAGUGGCACUGCUAAGGCCUUAGAUCCAGAUUGGGACAGUCCUUUCGAUGAAAUAUCUGAAAACGAGGGUGUGUCCACUCUUGAGAGACAGUCCGAUGAUAGCUUAUCAGUGGUAAUAAAAGGGCAAGUGCUUGACUACAAGGAGAAUACCGUAUAUCUGAUGAGCAUUGAUUUAUCAUGCAACAGUUUAACUGGAGAAAUUCCAGAGGAACUAAGCUCUCUUAUUGGUCUCAUAAAUCUGAAUUUAUCAUCAAACUUGUUGAGUGGAAUUAUCCCCGAUAAGAUUGGUGAUCUUCAAUCACUCGAGUCUCUUGACCUUUCGAAGAAUAAGCUUGCUGGUGAAAUUCCUUGGGGCUUAUCAGAUUUGACAUAUUUGAGCUAUCUAAAUUUGUCAUAUAAUAAUCUCUCAGGAAGAGUGCCCACGGGGCAUCAACUUGACAUCCUCAAUGCAGAUGAUCCAACUCUUUGUGGAUAUCCGACUCCAAGGCAAUGUCCUGGCCCUCCUGAAGACGAACCAACCCACGGAGAUUCUGUAAGAUGGCACAAAGGGGGUCUAUCUCCAACGGAUUUACUUCUUGGGUUAAUUGUGGGAUUUGUGGCAGGCGUUUGGAUGGUAUUUUGUGGACUUCUGUUCAUGAAGAGAUGGAGACAUGCUUAUUUCGUGCUGUUUGACGAGCUAUAUGACAAGGUGUAUGUCAACUUUGUUGUUACUUGGGGAAAAUGGUUCAGAAACACGGGUGGAGAAUAA
This 2952-nucleotide ribosomal RNA is filed under the name Triticum aestivum (bread wheat). RNAcentral's name for it is "partial small subunit ribosomal RNA". The record is from RNAcentral. Lineage: Eukaryota; Viridiplantae; Streptophyta; Magnoliopsida; Poales; Poaceae.